UUUUUGGUUUUUGUUUACAAUUUAACACUGACUAAUCUGAUUUGGUUAAAAGGUAAAUAAAAUUUGAUUAAAGAUUGUUUCACUGAUGAUUCUUUACCACCGCUUUGCCCUGGACUAAUCUGUUUCCAUUUUCAAUUUGUACCUUUCUUUCCCUCUUUCAUGAUGAAAGUGUCUUCUUUUCCCACACACCAACCGUUCAUUUCUUUGUAAUUUUAUGAUUUGACCUCACCCCAAACUUAUCUCCUAAUAAUUAAACUUAUCUCCUAAUAAUUAAAUGAAACAAAACAUGUACAGGAUUUUGAUUGGAGACAGGAAAACAUUAGGCUGUAAUUAAGGAAAAUUAGUUCCUUCUUUUGUGAGAAACAUCCAAACACAGGGCUGCUAUCUUCAAGGAUAAAACCUUAAUUUCCUCUUUAUAAAAACUUAACGAAAAUAGUAAGGAAGAAGGGAGGAGAGAAGGUUGGUCAGAGAUAGGAAGAAGUAAGUAAAGAGGUUGGACAAAACUCUAUAGAUCUAGCCAAGUAAGACUUACCUUAGAUCAUGUAGAAGAAUUGGAGCUGCUAAUUUUCGCGAAAAAGAACAAAGGAAUCCAGGUUGAAAAGCAGAUGGAGCAAGUGCAGAUUAAACCAAAUGUAGAAAUCUGUCUCAAUGAUUUGAAGCUUGUUCUUGGACCAGAGUUGAAGAUAGUUUAUCCUUUGAUUCUUAAUUUCAGUGUAAGUGGAUAAUAUUAGUUUGAUGCAACACUUGGAUUUUGAACCAGUUCAAACUGAACGACCAGGAGAGUUAAUUGCUUACUACA
This 799-nucleotide small RNA is filed under the name Vigna angularis var. angularis. RNAcentral describes it as "Non-protein coding transcript". Lineage: Eukaryota; Viridiplantae; Streptophyta; Magnoliopsida; Fabales; Fabaceae. The record is from RNAcentral.